CAUGAAGUGCUGGGAACCAUCUUGGAUUCCUCGCUUCGAGUGCGAAUGCCCGCUCGUUACUCCGAAAAAAAACUUGUGGAAUGUUAAUAUCCGAACAGAAAUAAAAUAAUUUGAGAAGGUUUUUUUUGCUACAUUGCCUUUGACGUGGAUAAAGGAGGACGUGCUGUGGCAUGUUACAGACUUCUGAACUGGAACAGCUAACGCUCUGCACUUUGUCUUCAGGAGCGCUUUUGUGAUGCUGUUCACCUUGAUCAGCUAAGACUACAGAUUAUAGAUGAAGUCAAGAAAAGUGAAAAGAAUCAUGUCCUGAUUACAAAGCUGAUGCACACAACUUUGGCCUUGUGAUGCAAAGAGAUCAUCAAUGAUGACCUACCAGUAGGUCAGAUCCUGGAUUGCUGGCCUACUCUGAAAUUCCAGUCCCAGAUCUGUGCAGAAUUCCACAGGAUUACAAACCUCGACCUGAAGAACCACUUUUAUGCUGUGUUGGACCAACAGGCUCCCCGGCUCCAGAGCUUAUUCAGAAAGAAAGCUGUUUGCACAGGG
Long non-coding RNA from Oreochromis niloticus (Nile tilapia), 543 nucleotides. RefSeq lists it as uncharacterized. The transcript is spliced from 3 exons. The record is from RefSeq and is a predicted model, not a curated record. Lineage: Eukaryota; Metazoa; Chordata; Actinopteri; Cichliformes; Cichlidae.